CCUAGGGAUGCACCAGUGGGGAAUCUUAGACAAUGGGCGCAAGCCUGAUCUAGCCAUGCCGCGUGAGUGACGAAGGCCUUAGGGUCGUAAAGCUCUUUCGCUGGGGAAGAUAAUGACGGUACCCAGUAAAGAAACCCCGGCUAACUCCGUGCCAGCAGCGCGCGGUAAUACGGAGGGGGUUAGCGUUGUUCGGAAUUACUGGGCGUAAAGCGCGCGUAGGCGGAUCAGAAAGUUGGGGGUGAACUCCCGGGGCUCAACCCCGGAACUGCCUUCAAAACUCCUGGUCUUGAGUUCGAGAGAGGUGAGUGGAAUUCCGAGUGUAGAGGUGAAAUUCGUAGAUAUUCGGAGGAACACCAGUGGCGAAGGCGGCUCACUGGCUCGAUACUGACGCUGAGGUGCGAAAGCGUGGGGAGCAAACAGGAUUAGAUACCCGCGUAGUC
Molecule: ribosomal RNA, 440 nt
Filed under: uncultured bacterium
Lineage: Bacteria
Description: partial 16S ribosomal RNA
Rfam family: Bacterial small subunit ribosomal RNA
Source: RNAcentral